GACUCUUGUGGAGAACGAUUCACGUCCGCUAGAUGGCAACCAAACUCCCCAAAUCAUGUGAUUUCUUGUUGAUAAUUGUCUGAAGGCCGAGUUGACGGUCAAGAUUUGGUUCAAAUGGUUUCUUCAGUUCGGAGUUCAUCCUUUCAACCAGUAGAUAUCAGGAUGUCUAAAGCCGUCGAGGAUGACAAGAUGGGGAUUGAGCUUCCAGUGGACAGUACAGACUCUGAGAGGAACAGUCCAGAGGCCAGCGAUCAGACCCAGCCAAUGAAAACAAGUCCUUUCUGCCUGUCACCCGCACCCAGCAACACAAAGGUGUGUGUGUGUGUGUGUGUGUGUGUGUGUGUGUGUGUGUGUGUGUUAAUGCCC
This 366-nucleotide long non-coding RNA is filed under the name Sinocyclocheilus anshuiensis. RNAcentral describes it as "lncRNA (ENSSANG00000022637.1)". The record is from RNAcentral. Lineage: Eukaryota; Metazoa; Chordata; Actinopteri; Cypriniformes; Cyprinidae.